CACAGCGCUCGGCGUGCUUGGACAGCAUGUUGCUCGCACUGAGAGCAGCUACCCCCAAUUGCUGGAGACACGUCUCUAGAAAACUCCUCAGCUCUUGGGGCAGGCGUUGUUUUAGUGAUUAGAUCCAAAAGCUCUCCUAAGUGAUGGUGAGCAUUUCCUCUGUUGCUACCUGAUCACAGGGCCACUAAAUUUAAAGAAGCAAAGAAAAGCGAGGAUGUGCUGGCAGGACGGUCCCAGCUGUUUAUCCUGGGGAGGUGAGUGGCACUUUUAUUUGGAGCGGGAAUGCAAGAACUCCAGUUUCACCACACAGGCUGGGGAAGCACAGAGAGGAGAGGAAAACUUGUGCUAGCUUCCUUCUUCAUUUUAUUGACAGUGUCUUCAAAGACUCACCCUCUCUCCCCCUCCCUGCAAGUUAUAUUUGGUUUUAAGCUCUCUUGGCUGCUGCAUUGAUAGCUCCUUACCAUUUCCACUGCAAUUAAUCAGAGCAGGCUUGAUUAUGCUUUUGUCUCUAAUUGUGUGAAUCAAAAUCCUUCUGUCUAAAGUGAAGAGACCUCCGCUGUCCUGGCACCAUGCCACCUGCUCCAUCCCCCCCAGUGCAACCAGGCAUGGCCAGGCGAGCUGGGGGAUCACAGUGCCUGCUCUGAAAUCACGCAAAGUCGGAACAGAGACGAAGGACUGAGCCCAGCAUCGCAGCUUUGGUGUAAGGAGGAGAACGAAGCCACCACUUCAGCCCUUCUCUCAUCUGUUUGCGUGCUGCUGCGUAAGAGCGACGUCAGAGCGACUGGGAGGGCUCUGCCCUGCUUGCUGUGGGGCAGAGUGAGCUUCAGCAGUUACAGUACACAUAAUAACUGCUUUUUCAAAAACCAGCCAGGGUAGCGCUCAUGCAAGCUGAACUGACGAGGAAGAGUCACUUUGGAUAGAAAAUGAAUGCUCACAGCAAUGAACUGGAAGUCCCAAGGAGCUCUAUUUCUGACCAAUUGUUUCUAACAACCUGCUUUUUGCUUCCAUCCCAAUUUUACAAAGAGGGACAGGCAUGAAAGUUUGGAGAGAAAUCGUGACUACUUUGGUUCUUGCCAUGGGCUGCCUGGGUCACCCUGAUCCUGCCAGGGUCUCACUGUGAUUGUUUUUGGAGAGUGAGAACACAGGAAUAGCUGAUAGGAUGUGUGACAGCUUCCAUGUGUUAUAUGAAGUUAACCAGAAGACUUAACUGUAUUACAGGAGUUCCCAGUAUGACAAAGCUAUUGAUACUGGCUUUACUGUCUCUUCAGUGCUUGCUCUUUUCCCAGACACUUCACAGUCUGUGAAGCAGAGGAGAAGAUGCUUACCAUUCUAGAAUAAGGCCUUCCUUUGAAUCUCAAAGCUCUUUAAAAAUACUUAUUUAAACCCAGCACUCAGAUGGGAGUGACUGCUUCACAGUCUGAGGUGUAGAGGUGUUAAAGCUAUUUGCCCAGUCUUAAACAGAAGAACCGAACUGGGAGCAGAACUGAGUUGCAGUUAUUCAUGUGCCACUCUAACCACUUGUCCGGAAUUCCUCCUUGUUAUUUACCAGCAGAUGAUAAUUUAUACUAUUGCCUCUCAGAAUGAAUAGCAAGUGCAAUAUUGCUCUCCAAAGCUGCCCAGAUGAGAAAUUUUCCAGUAAACAUACAUGCCGUCUAAAACUACAGAUAAUAUUUCUGAAGGACGUACUAUGCGACCUUUUUCUUCCACCCGCAUAACACUAGGCUGUUCUGGUUUGAAACCGGAUUGAUUAGUUGCAACUCCAAUUCAGCUUGCAGAGUGUAACAUUUGAAUUUGCUGUAUCUUUGGUUGGCAGAUCACAUCCUUAAUAUACUCUUACUUGUUAAGCGAUAGCUCUAUAGGCAGAGAUGGAAGUAGCUGGCAAGACCACAUUUCCUUUGCUCCUACAGGAGAAGAUGACAGUCUGUUUUAUCCUCGCUCUCAAAAAUAUCAGAAUACACACGUUUGAAGCCAAUCUCCCAAAACUCUGAUCUGUCAGUGGGGACGCUUUUGCUGUGCGCAGUCUUGUGGAGAUAAACAUGGCUCCAUUCAGAGACAGUUUCUUUUGAACAAUUUUAAGAGUCCUGCUUGAGGUGCUGAAGGUGCAAAGAAAUAGGAAAAAGAUAUCAAGAAACCAAGCUGAACCACGUUGAACUGUGGCUGGAGUUGUUGAACCUCUUUAAAGUGCCAUUUAACACUCCAAAAGUCUCAGGCGGGGCGAAGAUCACAGGAAGCAAGCAGUGUGUUUUGGUGGAGGCAGCCUCUGAGUUCCCAUUGGGUGCAUCACUGCACAUUGAGCUGGAAAAAACUUCUGCAGCAGGAGCUCCAUAUCAUGUUAGUGGCAGCUUUGUAACAAGAGGAAAAUUAUUUCCUCUGGUACUUACUGUUGAACUAGAUUGAUCAUGUUGCCUUCUCUCUGCAAGCAUUUGGAUGUCUUAAGUCUGCAGACUGCAAAGAGAUUUCACUGUAACUGGGCGGUAACUAAUGUCUAUCUAUAGCAUUGCCUUUGUCACCUAAGGCUUUAAGUCAUACAGUUUACUAACUAAUUGUACCAAGUAAGUUUUUUUUUUUUUUUUAACACAAUGUGUAUUUACAGUCUAAAAUACUAGAAUAUAUAAAACCUUAAAAUAUGUUAUGUUUAACUCCUAAAUCACAUAAAUCAUAUGAUUUUACAGAGUUGUGUAUAUUUUUUGCAUCCACUUUAGCCUCAUACAGUAUCUCCAACUGUUUACAUAUGUUAAAAUCUCUUGCAUUUAAAUAGCUCAUUAUGCAAAUAUUUACAAAAUACAUGGAUAUUUAUUUUUGCUGUACCCUGUAUUCAAUCACUGAGCUGAGAUUUAAUGUCUAAACAUUGUUUGCAGUGUUGCAUGUGUAGAAAUGAAUUAUAAGUAAUUAUGUACUAUAUACAAUUAUACAGGAAAAAUUACAGAUUCAAAAAAUAUUGAAGUUGCAAAGCCAAAUACUCAAAUUUAUGGAAUGCCAUAGUUAAGAUGCAGCCCUCAUAUAUAUGUGCCUUAUAACACAGUCUUAACUAUUCAAAUUCUGUUUUUCUCCCAACAGCCUUCAGCUAAGAGGUAAGUGUGAAUGUGUUACAGGCCAAGGCAAUAGUCUCAGGCCAAGCGUUGGGAUCAGACCAAAGCUAAAUUUGCAGUGUUUCUCAGACAGGAACAUUUUCCUGGAGCUGAUCACCUAAGCAACUUAGCUUAAUAUUUCUAAUUUUCCCAUCCCCAUUGUAAGAACUUGCAACAAGAGAACAGCCUGCAUUAAUUUACCUCUCAGUCUAGCCAUACACAGAGCAGGACUAAUUUUGCAUUUGAGACAUUUGAAAGAGCAGUGUGUUCUCAUAUAAUCAAAGACUGAAUCUGAAGUACAUUUUAUUGAAAGGUUUUUGACCAGAAAAUCUUCCACCAGGAAAAGCUUCUUUGUCAACAUGGAAAUGUUUUGUGGAAACAUUUAGUUUGUGAUGAUAUUUUUGACAGAAAAAAAGUGUAAGCAAGUCAAAAGAAGAAAUUAUUUCUCACUAACAGUUGUGUCAAUGUAAGCCUGCUUUCUUUUCAUUCGGUUUCAGAGCAUAUAUUAUUUAUAUUUACUAUUCAGCUGUUAAAUAUUACCAUAUAACCAGCAGAAUAAUCUUGAAAUGUUUCAGCACUGUUAAUGCUGACAUUGUGUAAUUUGAUUAUUAGAAGAACGUUCUUCUAACAGCCUUUGUGUGCUCACAGUACUUAUAUUUCCUACAUUUCAAGAAAGUAAAGAAUGCCUAGCAAUUUAAUUUAAGCAGAGAUUAAAACUAUGAGGAUGACACACCAUGUUUAAAAAAAAAAAAAAAAAAGCCCAAAUGGUCUUUGCCCAAAUUAUAAGCAGCCAGAACAAAUUUGCGUGUUAGUCUGAGCAGUCUUAAUAAUAGAUGGCAUCCUCAGUUCCAUCUAUUACAUUGCAAACAAUUUGUCCUUGGAAGUUUUCUCCCUGAAAACAGUAACUGUAAUUCAUUUUUUAAAAUAAUACAAUUUAUAGAGAAUUU
Long non-coding RNA from Rhea pennata, 4015 nucleotides. RefSeq lists it as uncharacterized. The transcript is spliced from 3 exons. NCBI's taxonomy places the organism in Eukaryota, Metazoa, Chordata, Aves, Rheiformes, Rheidae. The record is from RefSeq and is a predicted model, not a curated record.